This 465-nucleotide ribosomal RNA is filed under the name Vreelandella stevensii. RNAcentral's name for it is "partial 16S ribosomal RNA". It matches the Rfam family "Bacterial small subunit ribosomal RNA", at positions 338 to 795 of the family's 1533-position model. The record is from RNAcentral. Lineage: Bacteria; Pseudomonadati; Pseudomonadota; Gammaproteobacteria; Oceanospirillales; Halomonadaceae.
CCUACGUGUGGCAGCAGUGGGGAAUAUUGGACAAUGGGCGAAAGCCUGAUCCAGCCAUGCCGCGUGUGUGAAGAAGGCCUUCGGGUUGUAAAGCACUUUCAGUGGGGAAGAAAGCCUUGGGGCUAAUACCCUCGAGGAAGGACAUCACCCACAGAAGAAGCACCGGCUAACUCCGUGCCAGCAGCCGCGGUAAUACGGAGGGUGCGAGCGUUAAUCGGAAUUACUGGGCGUAAAGCGCGCGUAGGCGGUCUGAUAAGCCGGUUGUGAAAGCCCCGGGCUCAACCUGGGAACGGCAUCCGGAACUGUCAGGCUAGAGUGCAGGAGAGGAAGGUAGAAUUCCCGGUGUAGCGGUGAAAUGCGUAGAGAUCGGGCGGAAUACCAGUGGCGAAGGCGGCCUUCUGGACUGACACUGACGCUGAGGUGCGAAAGCGUGGGUAGCAAACAGGAUUAGAUACCCUUGUAGUC